Molecule: non-coding RNA, 26 nt
Filed under: Homo sapiens (human)
Lineage: Eukaryota; Metazoa; Chordata; Mammalia; Primates; Hominidae
Source: RNAcentral
UGAGAGCUGGAGUCAGUGUGGUGUGU